CCUACGGGCGGUAGCAGUGAGGAAUAUUGGUCAAUGGACGAGAGUCUGAACCAGCCAAGUAGCGUGAAGGAUGACUGCCCUAUGGGUUGUAAACUUCUUUUAUAUGGGAAUAAAAUGUUCCACGUGUGGGAUUUUGUAUGUACCAUAUGAAUAAGGAUCGGCUAACUCCGUGCCAGCAGCCGCGGUAAUACGGAGGAUCCGAGCGUUAUCCGGAUUUAUUGGGUUUAAAGGGAGCGUAGGUGGAUUGUUAAGUCAGUUGUGAAAGUUUGCGGCUCAACCGUAAAAUUGCAGUUGAAACUGGCAGUCUGGAGUACAGUAGAGGUGGGCGGAAUUCGUGGUGUAGCGGUGAAAUGCUUAGAUAUCACGAAGAACUCCGAUUGCGAAGGCAGCUCACUGGACUGCAACUGACACUGAGGCUCGAAAGUGUGGGUAUCAAACAGGAUUAGAUACCCCAGUAGUC
Molecule: ribosomal RNA, 460 nt
Filed under: uncultured bacterium
Lineage: Bacteria
Description: partial 16S ribosomal RNA
Rfam family: Bacterial small subunit ribosomal RNA
Source: RNAcentral